AUUAGUGGCGGACGGGUGAGUAACGCGUGGAUAACCUGCCGUAUACAGGGGGAUAACACUUAGAAAUAGGUGCUAAUACCGCAUAAGCGCACGGUUCCGCAUGGAACAGUGUGAAAAACUCCGGUGGUAUACGAUGGAUCCGCGUCUGAUUAGCCAGUUGACGGGGUAACGGCCCACCAAAGCGACGAUCAGUAGCCGGCCUGAGAGGGUGAACGGCCACAUUGGGACUGAGACACGGCCCAAACUCCUACGGGAGGCAGCAG
Molecule: ribosomal RNA, 263 nt
Filed under: uncultured bacterium
Lineage: Bacteria
Description: partial 16S ribosomal RNA
Rfam family: Bacterial small subunit ribosomal RNA
Source: RNAcentral